AAAUUGAAGAGUUUGAUCAUGGCUCAGGUUGAACGCUGGCGGCAGGCCUAACACAUGCAAGUCGAACGGUAACAGGAAGUAGCUUGCUGCUUUGCUGACGAGUGGCGGACGGGUGAGUAAUGUCUGGGAAACUGCCCGAUGGAGGGGGAUAACUACUGGAAACGGUAGCUAAUACCGCAUAACGUCGCAAGACCAAAGAGGGGGACCUUCGGGCCUCUUGCCAUCGGAUGUGCCCAGAUGGGAUUAGCUAGUAGGUGGGGUAA
RNAcentral lists this ribosomal RNA (263 nucleotides) under Escherichia coli. RNAcentral describes it as "partial 16S ribosomal RNA". It matches the Rfam family "Bacterial small subunit ribosomal RNA", at positions 1 to 260 of the family's 1533-position model. Lineage: Bacteria; Pseudomonadati; Pseudomonadota; Gammaproteobacteria; Enterobacterales; Enterobacteriaceae. The record is from RNAcentral.